AUCAACGGGCAUAUCACGUUGAAAGCACCGGCUUCUGUCCGAUCACCGAAGUUAAGUAACGUCGGGCAUAGUUAGUACCUAGAUGGGAGACCGCUUAAGACACUGCGUGCUGUUGAUU
RNAcentral lists this ribosomal RNA (118 nucleotides) under Bemisia tabaci. The record is from RNAcentral. Lineage: Eukaryota; Metazoa; Arthropoda; Insecta; Hemiptera; Aleyrodidae.